Molecule: ribosomal RNA, 429 nt
Filed under: Bacteroidota bacterium
Lineage: Bacteria; Pseudomonadati; Bacteroidota
Description: Bacteroidetes bacterium partial 16S ribosomal RNA
Rfam family: Bacterial small subunit ribosomal RNA
Source: RNAcentral
UAGGGAAUCUUCGGCAAUGGGGGGAACCCUGACCGAGCAACGCCGCGUGAGUGAAGAAGGUUUUCGGAUUGUAAAGCUCUGUUGUUAAGGAAGAACGAGUGUGAGAAUGGAAAGUUCAUGCUGUGACGGUACUUAACCAGAAAGGGACGGCUAACUACGUGCCAGCAGCCGCGGUAAUACGUAGGUCCCGAGCGUUGUCCGGAUUUAUUGGGCGUAAAGCGAGCGCAGGCGGUUAGAAAAGUCUGAAGUGAAAGGCAGUGGCUCAACCAUUGUAGGCUUUGGAAACUGUUUAACUUGAGUGCAGAAGGGGAGAGUGGAAUUCCAUGUGUAGCGGUGAAAUGCGUAGAUAUAUGGAGGAACACCAGUGGCGAAGGCGACUCUCUAGUCUGUAACUGACGCUGAGGUUCGAAAGCGUGGGUAGCAAACAGG